Non-coding RNA from Dicentrarchus labrax (European seabass), 720 nucleotides. The record is from the annotation of a RefSeq genome assembly. Lineage: Eukaryota; Metazoa; Chordata; Actinopteri; Moronidae.
UGGAUGACAGAGAACAGUGGACACACAGUUUAACAUGAUGGACUAUAGGACAGGACUGCUGCUGUUAACUAUCUGCUGGGCAGGUGUUGAUGGUCAGACUCUGACAGAAUCUGAACCAGUGGUUAAAAGGCCUGGAGAAUCUCACAGAUUGACCUGUACAACAUCUGGAUUCACAUUCAGCAGCUACCAUAUGAAGUGGGUCAGACAGGCUCCUGGAAAAGGACUGGAGUGGGUUGCCUGGAUUGAAAAUGAUAAUGACAGGAAAUUCUACUCUCAGUCAGUUCAAGGCCGGUUUACCAUCUCCAGAGACAACAGCAGACAGCAGGUGUAUCUGCAGAUGAACAGUCUGAAGACUGAAGAUUCUGCUGUUUAUUAUUGUGCUCGAGACUCACAGUGACUGGAGUUGGUUGAGCAGCUGUACAAAAUCCUACAGUACUCAUCUUUCAGGCUGGUAGAGUCUGUGCAUUAAGUAUUCCUAGUAUUUGUAUUAUAUAUUCAUUUUAUUUUGAAUUUGACAUGAGAUUUUUUAAUACAUUGUUUUAUAUGCUACAUUACAUUUUAUUUAGAUGUAUUUUAGUAAUUAAAUUAAUAAUUGUCUCUGAAUUAAAGUCCAGAAAACUGUUCCUCAUAUUUUAUUACGAAAUAUUAAAAACAUAAAAAACACAAUAAAAGUCACUUGUUGAUAAAAAGGCCAAAGACAGCACAAUCUGGUUGCAGCAA